UACGUAGGUGGCGAGCGUUGUCCGGAUUUACUGGGCGUAAAGGGCGUGCAGGCGGUUUGUUAAGUGCAGGGUGAAAGCCCCCGGCUCAACUGGGGAGGGUCAUUCGAUACUGAUCGACUCGAAGGCAGGAGAGGGAAGUGGAAUUCCCGGUGUAGUGGUGAAAUGCGUAGAUAUCGGGAGGAACACCAGUGGCGAAGGCGACUUCCUGGCCUGUUCUUGACGCUGAGGCGCGAAAGCUAGGGGAGCAAACGGG
This 253-nucleotide ribosomal RNA is filed under the name uncultured bacterium. RNAcentral's name for it is "partial 16S ribosomal RNA". It matches the Rfam family "Bacterial small subunit ribosomal RNA", at positions 524 to 776 of the family's 1533-position model. The record is from RNAcentral.